AAAAAUGACCUAAGUGUUGUGAUUCAUGAACACCUGAGCGACAUGAAUAACAGAUAUUUCAGAUACAGCUGAACCCACCUUUUUUAAGAUGCUAUGAUUGCUUUAAUAAUAUUAAAGUAAUACAAAAUAACCAACUUCAUGUGGUUGGUUGCUCACUAUUAACACAAUUCAGACACCAUGGAGUGUGGGCCAUAAUAAUGUAUAAUGCUGGAAGCAUGAGACCACUUACAAUAUAUGGCCUACUGGAAAAAUAGAGAUAAAAGGUUGUUUUAAAGUGAAAGUAAGCUUGGGCCAAUUAAGAUCAGUAGAAGAUAUAGAAAUUCUAGGGCAUACAGCUUACCUGAGACAUCUGCCAUUGUUCAUGUGCACCACCACCUUCACUUGAGAGUACCCUGACAGCCAAGUAAAAUGAAGGAAACAAGAAUCAAAAUUUACCUGAUAAGAGACCAUAUCUAUAAUUGGGGUUUGAAAUAUCAUUUUCGGGCAUCAGAUUAAGCACACGGCUAAACAGUAUCUAGUAAUUGCAAAAGAAAGCAGCACAAAACAACAUGAAGAUAAAAAUUUCAAAUAGUGGCAAUAAAUUUUAUGCAAUUCUUUCUCUAUUUAUUCAAAGUUUUGAAAGCCUAGAUUGAAAUUUUGAAAAAAAGAUUGCAGUUCGAUAUGUGUUCGACUUGAAUAGUGCUUUUUGUGAAGUCCACUAUGCCAUGUUAAAGGGUCCCACUAUGACAUCAAAGAUAAAUGAUAAUGACCUUUAUCAAAACUCAGCUGGCACAACUAGCGGAAAAGGUCUUGACAGAUUUCUGCUCCAUCUUCCAUGAUUAAGGCCUGUAGGGAGUUUUAGCAGGAAACCAUUGAUUUGUUGCAGAACACCUAUAUGUAAGAUAUACCCCGCUCCCACAUAGUACUCUGCAAUUGUUGUUAGCUAUGCACACACACACACACCCCAUAAAAAAAAAAAUUAAAAAUUAUCCACAAGACUAUAUUGAACUUUCCACAUCAAAUUACUUCAAUAGUGAUGGCCCAUAACCGUCUGCAUGACAUUGGACCUCAAUUUUGUAUCACAAAAUCCUGUCUACAUGGGUUGAGACUUGAGAUUAAGCAAACUUCUCUUAAUCCUUAUUGUAAGUAUUCAACCAGAUAAGCAAUAAGUUGCAGCUGAUCAGAGGAGUAGAAAGGCCCUAUAUUUUAAAUCCAUUUGUAAACACAGCAGUUAUAUCGUGAACAAGCACAUCAGCAAAGCAUCACACCUAAAGGAUGUUAUUUAAUUACUAUCGCUUAUGUAGUCCUACUUGAAGCAGUAACAUAAGAAAACUAGCACCCUUCCAACUUGUCUUAGUUUUUAUCGAGAGUUAAAACCAUAACACAACAAAUAAAAAUUGCAUACCCUCUAUAAAUAAUUUGCAGAUGAUAAAACUUGAGAACGAGCUUCAUCCUAAGUUAACUGUACACUCUUUACGUCAAAGUAAUAUCAUAGGUAACAAAUUGAUCGAAACUGUGAGGGCAUAAACUACGGGUGGUUCCUGCUCAAACACUACAAUAUAGAUUUAACAAAUACCUCACUGCCAUUCCCCAUGUAAGAAUACAUGAUGGAGCUACCAGUACAAUUUCCAAAGAGAUGACACAACCAAAUACUCCUUAGUCCUUACUAUUGUACUGACAGAAAAAUAUACUAUUCGUUAAUUGUCAGCAUCAGAUAAAAACAAUCUAUUCUUUUCCGGAAAGGCAAACUUCCUGAGCUUAAAUGCUUGAUCCUAUGGUAAGACAAAGGCUAGUUGCCAUAUCAGUAACUCUGUCAGUUUUUGAACUUUCCAUACAACUAUACCAUAUACAUGUUCCCUUACACAUUUAUAACCCAGUUGCUAGACACACUAGACUUGAUUCAAAUCUAAUUCCUAGAGCUUGGCUACAAAGAACUUGAACACGAAAGCUAUAUACUUUUCGUAGGAAAUCAGUCUUUGAAGCUAGGAGGACUAGAUUAUCUUGCUUGAUCCUAUGGUAAGACGAAGACUAAUUCUCAUAUCAUACAACUAUUACCAUAUACAUGUUCCCUUACACUUUUAUAACCCAAUUGGUUGAAAAAUAUUUACAAAUAUUGAUGCACUAGACUUUGUUCAAAUUUAUCCUAGAGCUUGGAUAAAUUCGUUUUGUAGGCGAUAGUCUUUGUAGCUGGGAGGGCUAGAGUUUCUUGGUGGACGCAGAAUCACUAAGAAGUAAAAGAGCACUGCGACUUCUUUAGAGCAAUUUCUCUGGAAUGGGUAACUCUAGUUAAAUCAUCUAUAACAAAAAUCGAUUAUUGACAGAGUCCUACUUAAACAGUGAUAAUUACAGGUUUCUGACAGUUGGAUAUAUACUGUUCGAUAAGAUAAAAUCAUGAAAUCUUUAUGAAAACCUUACAAGAUAUAACAAUGUACGUCUCAUAAUAUCAUUAAAUUGUUACUGUAUUAGAUUACGAGAUCAUCAUUAGAGAAACACAAAUUGAACUAAUCUAAUAGAAUUUUGAAAUUUAACAAGAACUAUACCAUAAGAAAAGAAAUUUGAAUUGCAAAGUGAUUUUACUUACAUUUGAUUUCGUUCCUUCUGCCAAAAUGUGUAAUUUAGGGAAAAAUUAGCUUCGAUUGAGAGAAGUAAAGUAAACAGAGAGAUGUUUGAAGUUUGAAGAAACCCUAAUUUUGAUUUUGGGUGAGAAAAUAAUUAUUGCCGCGGAAAAAAAAAAUGUGGAGAGAAGCUGC
Molecule: long non-coding RNA, 2729 nt
Filed under: Aquilegia coerulea
Lineage: Eukaryota; Viridiplantae; Streptophyta; Magnoliopsida; Ranunculales; Ranunculaceae
Description: long non-coding RNA (ACOE_LNC000557)
Source: RNAcentral